This is a non-coding RNA of Helianthus annuus (common sunflower), 106 nucleotides long. The record is from Rfam. Lineage: Eukaryota; Viridiplantae; Streptophyta; Magnoliopsida; Asterales; Asteraceae.
AUACCAUGACGUGGGCAAUUCUUGAUCAUCAUUUUGAACCGAUUAAACGCUUCAUGGAAAAGCUCACCAGAUUGCUGUUGGAAAUUCCAGAUGUCUUUCCUAGCAU